Mya arenaria is the source of this 1714-nucleotide long non-coding RNA. RefSeq lists it as uncharacterized. Lineage: Eukaryota; Metazoa; Mollusca; Bivalvia; Myida; Myidae. The transcript is spliced from 3 exons. The record is from RefSeq and is a predicted model, not a curated record.
GGCAUCCACUAUUGUAAACAUACUUUUAAACAUCGAGUGAAAUGUUAAUUGUGUCUAUUGUGUUUAUUGAAACUCAAGAAGAGUGAUUGUAAUUCUAUGAGUGCGGAAAUAAUUUUUAGAUGCAAAAUGAAGCAAAAAUGAAGCACAGAUUUAUAACUGCCGUAAACUGGAUAAUUUCAUUUUCGCUGCAAGUUCCUGUUGUAUUAGAUGUGGAACCAGUACCCUAUUUUCUUUCCAGUUAUAAAUCAUCGAAGCACAUGUGUGCGAUCAGGGAAAGUAUUAUCUAGAGAAGCCAAAUGAAGGUGGUCGAUGCAAGUAGUGUCGACCGUGUCAUAAAGGCUACUCUAUGGGAGGACCUUGCAAAGAGACUAGCGAUUUCAAAUGUGAGCCAUGUCCAGUUGGCACUUUCAGUGACAAAAGAAACGUUGUUUGUAAGAACUGCACAUUUGUAACAGGGAUUACUUCAUACGUAAACCAUGCUUACCUUAUAUGGACACUACGUGCCGCAGAUGUCCUGAAGGGACCUUUUCGGUAGAUGGAACUCAGUGGGCUUGUAAAUAUUGCAAAGCUUGUAGUGAAAAUCAAAACGAGAUCUUACGUUGCACAUCGGAAAGUGAUCGAUUAUGCGCAAAAGAUGCUCCGAUUGCCACCACAGACUCUGAAGUGAUAUGGAAAGAAACAGAAGUUGAAGACAAUGAUGAAUUUAAUACCCAUACCCGAUUGGUCAUGAUUGCCACUUGUACAGCGAUAUCAUUUGCCUUCUUAAUUGUCCUUCUCGCUUGGACAUUACAAUCUUACCAUCAUUUUUAAGACCAGUAUCAGAUGACGCUGUGUAAAAUCUGUGUUCUUUGACACGAGGAUGCUCAGCUGGAAGGUAUACAGUACUUGGGCACUGAAAAGUGUUAACAACACGUAUUGAUAUCGUUUCGAGAAUUCCGUUUGUUGAACUCUACGUAAUAACUGUCUGUGCAUUUAUUCGUUAUCAGUGAUUAAACGGCUUAUAUGUACGUAUCAAUGAUUACUAGAAAGUAUGUCUAUAGCCAUUGUUCGAUUUGAUUAAGAUCCAUAAAAUGAUUGAUUCCGGGCGAAAUGGGUAGCAAUCAGAAUACGCUCACAUGCAAGUGUGGGGUUACGGACUUAAAAGCAAGUUUAACCCACCAGUGACCAUUCUAAGAUAAAACCUCUAAAUUGGGUAAUGCACAUUUUCAUGCAAUUGUGAGAUUAACGAUUUAAAGACUAGUUUGAGCCGCAAGUGAUAUUGUUAAACAUAUGUUUUGAUGCAAGUGUGAGGUUAAAGACUUUAAACCUAGGUUAAACCCCCCAAUCAGUGAGUUUCUCUUUGAUGACCGUUCAAAUGCGAUUACCCACAAACUUGUUAAUAGACACUUUAAGAAGCAUGUGUACUACGUAUGCGUUCUUUUUUGUAUGUUGUCUGUGUGUGUAAGGUUAAACUUUUUGCUGCUGAGGCUGUUUCUGUAGCUUUUAGCAUAAAUAUUUUGUACAAUGUGCGAGAAAGGUGAUUUUGUGAGGAGACCUUGCAGACCAUACAAGGACACAAUAUGUAAGAUAUCUCUGAGUGAGACCUGCUCCAAGUAUGAAAAGAGAUGAGCUUGUUAAUUUUGCCAACGUUGUUGGGGUAAUCAAAUUGAGCAAAUGUACGCAAACACAAGAUACAACUUGUGGCGAGGGUAUGUAGUUAAACCUUCGGUAAAUC